This 253-nucleotide unclassified non-coding RNA is filed under the name uncultured Planctomycetota bacterium. RNAcentral's name for it is "uncultured planctomycete contains 16S-23S intergenic spacer region". It matches the Rfam family "Bacterial small subunit ribosomal RNA", at positions 524 to 776 of the family's 1533-position model. Lineage: Bacteria; Pseudomonadati; Planctomycetota. The record is from RNAcentral.
GACGAAGGUGGCAACCGUUGUUCGGAAUCACUGGGCAUAAAGCGCACGUAGGCGGCGUCGUAAGUCGGGUGUGAAAUCCCUCGGCCCAACCGAGGAACUGCGCCCGAUACUGCGGCGCUUGAGGGCAGGAGGGGAGCACGGAAUUCCCGGUGGAGCGGUGAAAUGCGUUGAUAUCGGGAGGAACACCGGCGGCGAAGGCGGUGCUCUGGUCUGCUUCUGACGCUGAGGUGCGAAAGCCAGGGGAGCAAACGGG